Molecule: unclassified non-coding RNA, 246 nt
Filed under: Glomeraceae sp.
Lineage: Eukaryota; Fungi; Glomeromycota; Glomeromycetes; Glomerales; Glomeraceae
Description: partial contains 5.8S ribosomal RNA and internal transcribed spacer 2
Rfam family: 5.8S ribosomal RNA (bases 1-71)
Source: RNAcentral
GUGAAUCAUCGAAUUUUUGAACGCAAAUUGCGCUUCCUGGCAUCCCGGGAAGUAUGCCUGUUUGAGGGUCAGUAUUAAUAAAAAUCGGUGUGUUGCUUCUUUGUGACGCUCCGGAGUUUGGGUCAUCUUAAUAUCCUUAAGGUUUUAAGAGGCUUAAAAUUGACUUUUUUUCCGCAUUUUAGUGGUACAUAAUUUUUUUUUUUUAUUGUUUGGUCUUAAUGUUAAAAUUCCUAUUAGUGGCGACCU